GUGUGGUGCAGUCAGCCCAGGGCAAAGGGUCUGUGCUGGGUGCUUUGCUGGUGCAGGUGCUGUUUGCAUUUCAGAGGUCAGGUUCUGGGAGGCCACUUGCAGAGCAAAUGCCUUUGCUGUGCACGUAGUCCUCAUGAACUGGAAGAACCUGAAGUACUGGUAAAAAGGGGACCCUGCAGCCAGCUCCUGCCAGGAUUCACUCGGGGAUCCUUCUUUCCUUGUCCCUUCCAGAAACGAACUAACAUUUGCUGGGAGGUGCCUUUCUAACGUGGCAGCUGGCCCACGAGGCUGUGCUGAGGCACGGCUGGGUCUAGGAUGCACUAAAAAUAUAGGUGACAAAUGCAAACAUUGACUUUUGCUGGGGUGGAAGUGUGUCUGUGAGACGUGCCAGCGGGGCGGCCAGUGGUGCUGGGUGCUGCGGGUGCCAGCAGGGACAUGUGCUCUGCGUCUUGGUUGUUGUCUGUUGUGUCUUUUAAAGCAAUGGUUUAAAAUUGUAACAGCUUCACACAUUAAAAUUGCAGCUUUUCCCUAAUUGUGUUGUGGUAAAUGUGUUUCAACAGGUAGAGGAGGAAACUGGACAGGGGGAAAUAAGGAAAUGAAGAAGGAGGAAGGACGUCUCGAAGGGGAAAUGCCUCCAUCUCCUCCCUGCUUCGUUUCAUUUUAAGCUCACAGGCCACUGAGUUUUACAUGUUACAUGAUUUGCACAAAUCGAUGAGUAGCGUAGACACACAAGCUCACAUCUGGAGCACAUGAGCCGUGAAGAAGGGAUUUGCACAGUGACCUAGUUAGCACCUAGCAGCAUCUGGAUCUUCAAAUCUGGUAUUUGUCUUUCUUUUCUUGCAAUGACCUGCUAUAUGCUAUAAGGCAGAUUGCAGCAGUGCCCAUUUCAUAGGGCUGUAUGACUCCUUCAGGAUGCAGCUACGCAAAGAGCAAGGCUUGGAGCUGCUUCACUUCCCUGGCUGGCCAAGAAGGAAAACUCCAGAUUACAUAUGACCAUAGCACAGCUGGACUGGGGACCUGCCCCAUUCACUGCUUUGCCAGGUGUAAAUCUUCCUGCCAGGGUGGGAGCAGCAAAUCCUCCUUCAAUUUCUGUCUGCUGAAAAACUCCCAUAGCUAAACAUGAGAAAUUGGCAAGUAACACAUUUAGAAGGGCAUUGUGGGAUGAAUCUGUUCCUGGUGCCCAUGAUGGAGGUGCUGGGUGAUGGUCCUUAUGAGGGGUGAUGGUCCUUAUGAGGCUGGUGGUGGCUGUGGGGCAGGAUUCCUGGCUGGCACACAUUGCUGAGCCACAGAGGCUUUUGCAGGCAAAACAAAAGCCAAGCCAAAAAGACCAUCCCCAAAACCCCACUUCCCUCCCAGAACACCCUCAGCGAGCAAGCAAAGAGCUGCUACCCAAGGGAAAUGCAUCAGAGCAUCCCAUCUCUUUUUAAUGCUCAUGGGAAGUCCCUAGGUGUCAACCCUGCUCCUCCUGACCCUCCUGUGGGUCUCAUCAGGAUUGAUAGAGCUCCAAAAAGCUCCUGCUUUGGAGAUUCUGUGGCUAAGUGAGGCCUUAAACUUCCAUUCACAAAUAAAAGUGAGAAAAAGAGUUUAAUGCUGGUGGUGGCAAAGGGAUCGCUGAAAGGCUCUGCCAUCCAAAGGCAAAUGAAAAGGGUGAUCGCAACACCCAAGAAUUUAUUUAUUUAAGAGCUAUAACAAGGUUCCAAAGUGAUGCUGGGAGAUGUGACUCAUGGUACCUAAAUGCUCCUGUUUGCCAGCACGCUUAGAUAUUGCUGGGACUGACAGGCCAACAAGUAGGGGUUGCAGAAGGGUGGUUCAGCCCUUCCAGCCUCUAUGGCCAAGACCAAGGAUGUUCCACUGGGCAGAGGCACCGAGGGACCACUUGCUCCAUCCCGUCACCCAUCUGCUUGGACUGUAUGCUCCACACAGGUGAGUUGCAGCACUCCAUCACUGUUUGCAAAGUGUGGCCCCUUCUAGGCAGCCCCAUAAUACAAACACAUUAAGUAAAACCAAGCACAGAUGUGGGCUGGACAGUCGAGGAGAAAAAUGCCCACCAUGGUAUCUUCAGCACCAUCAGAGACCUGACAGAUAAGGGGAUUUUGGUGUAAGUCCUGUUUAUCACACCUGAUAGAUGAGUAGAUCUGAGAAAGCCAUUAACUUUUUCCCUUUUAAUCUAUGUUUUUUCUCUGCUGACUGUGGUCAAACCUGCUGUACCCACAUCCAGCCCCUCCAGCACUGAUGCUCUGGUUGCUCCUUCCCCAAAACCCCAAACCAGCUGAUAAAAGCAGCAGUUCCAUUAUGCCAGAGAUAAGAUCCUUUCGCCCGUCUCUUGAUGAGAUGACUUUUGGAGUGAGCUAGCGCAGUAAAAAUUGUGAAUUGCAAAUAAUAUAAUCAAAUCUACAAUUGGAGUUUCGUCCUGAGUUAAUUACCUGAGUACUGUACAUCUGUUAGCUACAACAAAUCACAGCAGAAAGGGAGACUCUGAUUGCAAUAUUCACUUUUGGGAUGAUCUGCAGGUCAAGUAUUAUUCACUGAAGAGAUUCAUGAAUAAUUCUGAAUAACUGGACCAAUAUAUUUAGAAACUGUGCAAUCUGCAAACAGGGAGAGGAAAAAGCCUCAAAUAAAUUAUACAUUGUGCCUUUUUCCUGCAGCUCUGGAAAUGGAUUUGAUUGCCUUAUCACAAUCCCUGCUAUGUCCAUCCCCCCCCCCGAUAAACCCCCAAAUCUCUCCUGAUAGAUUACUAACCCAACAAGGAUUAAAUCAGUCGAACAGAACCAGCCAUCCUGCUCCGAGCGAGCUGCUUUCCACUUGGAAAAUCCAACUCCUUCAGCCACGUGUGUGAGAAGCAGUUUGAUUAACUGGGGCGAGGCGAAUCCAACCCCAACCGGGGGAUGCUGCACUUCAAAAGGCAAAGCAACCCCGGAGCAGGAUGCGCAGAGCGGUGCCUGCGAGGUCCCCAAUCCGUGAUGCCACACGCCACCUCGUGUCGGGCGCAGGGAGUAGCUGGGUGCUCCUGCCCCAGUUCCCAGCUAUCUGACGUCAUUUCAGGGCUGAGGGGGGAGUUUUGCUUGGUUUUCUUUCUUUGCACCCUUUGGGAGUGUGGGGAAGACCCUGGGUCCUCCAUGGUGCUGUUAUUGCAUGUUGGGUGCCGGUGCUUGGUUGUGGCUCAUGUAAUUAAAUUACAUGUUGGAUGGAGAACCUGACCCUACCUAUUUGUAUGGCGAGUCCUGCUAAGGACAGUGGGAUCUCCUCUGCCCCACUGCUGUGUAUAAUAUCCUGCUUGUACCUUGCUUUCCAUCCAAGCAUGGAGUGACUUGGCCAAGGCCAGCCUUGGAGUCAUUACCGGAUGGAGCUUUGUGAUUCCCAAGCACCGUAGAUGCAGGAACUGGAAGCAACUUUUAAAAAGACUCCAGGCUCCAGAUUUGGAAGGAUUUGUGACUGUGACCGUUGUCCUUCCUGCCGCACCAGUGUGUGCUUGUGGAGACAGGUGGAGCAUUGCAAAACCAACCUGGCUGCAGAGCAUAAACCCAAGGACUUUUUUCAGCAUGGUACAUGUUGCUGGAGCUUUGCUGUUGGACAUGAUGUAAGCGGCAGGAUGAGCAGGUAUUUUCAGAUGCCAGCUUGAGCUGGCAGUGCUGACAGGUUGAAAAAUGAAUCUGGGGGUUGUAAGCUAAGCACAUUUUGAGCUGGGAGCAUCACAGGGAACAUCUGCCUGGUCAUUUCAACUGUGCCCCUGUUCUGCACUCCAAGCACGCUUUGUGUUUCAAGUGCGGCAAAGGCUGAUGAUUUACAUGUUAAAUCAAACCAUUUCAUUCAGGAUUCCUCCCAGGAGUAUAAAGCACUGAUGAUGGCCACCAACAACAAAGAGCAUGGCAACACUGCUAAAAUACCAUGGAUUGGCCCCAGGGCAUGCUGAGUUCUGGAGUAUCAAAUUCGGACCCUUCUUUUGACAAGAAAGCAGGGAAAAUGCUCAAACAGAGCAAGCGCUGUACCCGCAUCAGCGUAAGUGACAGCAGCCACACACCUCCCCACCUAACUGAUAACUCAUCAAACCUUUGCUAUUUCAUACAGAUCACGGGUCAAUUAAAUACAUGCACUGUCUGCAUUGAGUCCUGCAUGGUGCCAGCACCUUCCCAGCGGGAACAACCCUUCCCAUCGGGUGCAAACAGCCCACCACCAAACCCCAUCGCCCGCGCCACCGAGGUAGAACCGUGCAUCACUCACCAGGUCAGCUUCGC
Molecule: long non-coding RNA, 4232 nt
Organism: Neopsephotus bourkii (Bourke's parrot)
Lineage: Eukaryota; Metazoa; Chordata; Aves; Psittaciformes; Psittacidae
Exons: 4
Source: RefSeq, a predicted model, not a curated record